This 485-nucleotide ribosomal RNA is filed under the name uncultured bacterium. Its description in RNAcentral is "partial 16S ribosomal RNA". It matches the Rfam family "Bacterial small subunit ribosomal RNA", at positions 30 to 507 of the family's 1533-position model. The record is from RNAcentral.
AUUGAACGCUGGCGACAUGCCUUACACAUGCAAGUCGAACGGCAGCACGGGUGCUUGCACCUGGUGGCGAGUGGCGAACGGGUGAGUAAUACAUCGGAACAUGUCCUGUAGUGGGGGAUAGCCCGGCGAAAGCCGGAUUAAUACCGCAUACGAUCUACGGAUGAAAGCGGGGGACCUUCGGGCCUCGCGCUAUAGGGUUGGCCGAUGGCUGAUUAGCUAGUUGGUGGGGUAAAGGCCUACCAAGGCGACGAUCAGUAGCUGGUCUGAGAGGACGACCAGUCACACUGGGACUGAGACACGGCCCAGACUCCUACGGGAGGCAGCAGUGGGGAAUUUUGGACAAUGGCGAAAGCCUGAUCCAGCAAUGCCGCGUGUGUGAAGAAGGCCUUCGGGUUGUAAAGCACUUUUGUCCGGAAAGAAAUCCUUGGCCCUAAUACGGUCGGGGGAUGACGGUACCGGAAGAAUAAGCACCGGCUAACUACGUG